CCAUUCUCUACAUCUUCAUCUUUAUUCCUGUCCUGCCCCUAGGUUCUUCAGAACCUUUUUUUUUCUUUUUUUUAGAUUCCAUAUAUAUGUGUUAGCAUACGGUAUUUGUUUUUCUCUUUCUGACUUAGAGUCUGCAGACUCUAGGUCCAUCCACCUCACUACAAAUAACUCAAUUUCGUUUCUUUUUAUGGCUGAGUAAUAUUCCACUGUAUAUAUGUGCCACAUCUUCUUUAUCCAUUCAUCUGUCGAUGGACACUUAGGUUGCUUCCAUGUCCUGGCUAUUGUAGAUAGUGCUGCAGUGAACAUUGUGUUACAAGCCCCUUUUUGUUUUUGUUUUGUUUGUUUUUUUAAUAAAUUUUUAAAUUUUAUUUUUAUUUUUGGCUGCGUUGGCCCUUCAUUGCUGCAUGCAGGCUUUCUCUGGUUGGGCUCAGUAGUUGUGGCUUGCGGGCUUAGUUGCUCCACGGCACAUGGGAUCUUCCAGGACCAAGGCUCAAACCUGUGUCCUCUGCAUUAGCAGGUGGAUUUUUAACCACUGCGCCACCAGGGAAGCCCCAUCUUUUUGAAUUACGGUUUUCUCAGCGUAUAUGCCCAGUAGUGGGAUUGCUGGGUCAUACGGUAGUUCUGUUUUUAGUUCUUUAAGGAACCUCCAUAUUGUUCUCCAUCGUGGCUGUAUCAAUUUACAUUCCCACCAUCACAGCUGUUUGUCUUAAUACCAAAUAAAAUCAUGGCUGUGUGUGGUCUUUGGAAGGACUGUAUAAGUAACACCAUGUCAUGUCAGAUGCUGAAAGUGUAUUAUUUGCCUUUCUCCCUUUACCUUUGCUGCCUAGAACUGUGCUGUGCUGAGAUUGGUAUCCAUGCUUUUAUCAGGUUUCCUGUUGCCUUUAAGGCCUUAUCCUGGUUGGAGUGGGUGUGAGCUUCUUGUUUCUUUGUGUAUCUCAUUACCCACAUCAUUAUCUUCGUUCUUUUACCAGCAGUGCUGGUGGCUGGACUUGGAAACAUAAGGAAGCCUAGGCUGUGUUUCUGGUGCACUCAGCUCUAGGGAAACAUUGCUUAUUGCUUCAGACCAUUACUGAAAGCAAGAUGAGAGAAUGUGGGCAAUUAUAGCUCAUCCUUGUCCUGCCUGACAUCAUUCCUGGGCCAGUGGAUACAAAGUAGGUUGCAAACAUGAAGGUUCUUUGGGGUAGAGGGAAGAAAUUUAAAAAAUUUUUAAAUGUAUUUUAAAUAAAUACAGUUACUUAUUAUCAUCCUUAAAAUUUUUUUUUUGCUUUCAGUUGUACAUAUAUUAGUCUAGCAGCACAUAUUUUUGUUUUAUGUGUGUGUAUUACAUAUAUAAGGAGGGUUUGUUCAGAUUUUUUCCUGGUGAGGGUGCACAAUCAAUGGUUUGGCAACCCCUGAUCUGUGGGAAAUGGUCAGCACAAGUGACCUAUGCAGGUUUUAGGAAAUGUGGAUGAUGGUCUCACUUAGCCCUCGGGGCUCCCUGUUUUCCCUAAUAGCAGGGUCCCUGCCCGCUAAGUAGUCAGUAGAGAAGGAGCAGUCUAGCUCCAGUGUGGCUGACUGAUGAGAUCAGAUUCACAAGUGGAUGGUGGGCUUUGUAAAGAGUGGACUGUUUAACAAAGCCUGGCACCUAGGAAGGAAUGUUAAAGAGUGCUGGUGGUAGGGAAGAGGCAGGUGAAUGACCGUAUGAAAAACUGUUUCGAAUGGAAAUUUUAUCUUUUUCUUAUUCUAUUUUAUUUGUAGUAGGAAAAGAUUUCUUUCAAAGCAUCUGGGCAGCAUUGGGAAUUUCAUACCCAUUAUUAGAACGAUUUGUGUGUGUGUGUGUGCGCGUGUGUGUGUGUGUGUGUGUGUGUGUGUGGUGACUAUGUUAUCAUUAGGGGUAUAAUUUUAUUUUGCGAAGAGAGAAGUGUUUCCUGUUUUAUCACAGCUUUCCCCGAGGAGGGCUGGUGUAUUAAUUUGCUGUAUUGCCUCCUGGCUGUUCCCAGGCUGUUUUUCCUCUUCAUCAUGGAAUUUUUAAUGGCCCUACUGCCUCUUGGGAAGCAUGUGAGGAAGAGUUCCUUGGGGAGUGCUUCCCUUUUUUCACGUGCCUAUAAUUACUCUCCUGUAAGAGCACAAAGAGUUUGAUAAUCAUGCCUGAACGGUGAAGAUUUCCUCCUUUCGGGUUACUGAGCUGAGGCUGCCUGCUGCCUGGACAUGGCCAGUUCCACUCCCCCAAACCCUCAGCUGUGUGAGAGGGAGUGCUCCUCAACAACCUCCUUCCUCACUGCUGGAGCCUUAACACAGCUCUGGUUCUCUGAGUGAGGCCUGGGGACCGCUGGGGGGCGAUGAGUGACCUCAAGGUACUCUCUUGUUUAGAAUUUCAUUGCUAUAAACAAAGAAAUAACAGGACCUUGAUUUUAAGAGAACGUUUGAUUGAUGUGUCAUUUUAAUACAGCCCACAUGGCAAGUGCAAUGAGAGCGAGUCUUUGUACCACCUAAUCGAUUUGUGGGGCUAAGCGGUUUUCAGAAGUGCCACUCUAGAAAUAAGUAAGUUUGGUGGUUUUCAUCCCUGGCUGUACUCUUGAAUCACCUGAGAAGCUUUAAAAAAUAUAUCCAUGCUGGGCCACCAGGUCCCAAGAUUCUGAUUUAAUCGGCCUGGGAUGAGGCCCAGGCAUUAGCAGUAUUUUAAAGCUCCCAGGUAUCUCUAAUAUACAGCCAGCGUUGGGAACUAUCACCCUAAAUGCAUGUGGUUUUAUGACUGGUGCUUUGUAAUUUGCUUAGCAGGAAAUCCCAUUUCAUAAUUGGUAUGAGCUCUGUGCUUUGCUGUUCUGAGCACAGUUCUAUAUGGGAGGUAGAACCCUGGGCUUCAUGUAGCUUUGGAGAACUGCUGCAGGUGAGGAAGAGAGUGCUAGGGUCUAGUGCAGUGCCCAGCACAUAGUGAUUAACAAAUGGGCAGAGUUGGUGGGUGGGUGUGUGGGUAGUGGGCAGGGUACCCAGAUGAAAUUCGUAAACCAGCUGUUUUGGUUUGGUUGUUUUGGUUGCUGGUAUUGGGCUGUUGCUAUUAAAGUAGUAAGACUUGGUUCCGGUAUUAAGGAUUGCUGCUGCUCCAACAGCAGAUGGUGUGAUUGGUGUUCUGGUAGAGGCGGCGGUGGUAUUGCUGUCAAGGACACAGUCAUGGAAUGGUAAUAAGGAACUAGUGCUGUAGGCAGCUUUUCCCAAAAUGAGAGAUUUAUUGAUUGUGAAGGAUAGCUUUUUUUUUCUUUUUUAACCAUUAUUGUCUUAGAAAACCAUAACUGGAACUUAUCAAUUGCUACAUCUCUUUGUGUGAUACACAAGUCACCAGUUGUAGUUUUUGAGUAUCUUGCGGCAGUUUUGAGUUUUCUCCAACUUUCCUGACGUUUCCUCUAUUUUGGGUGGUGACUUGGUAAUGUAUCACCAUUUCCAUUUAUUCCUUCUUAAUCUCAUAUUAGUGUGAGGCAGACUCAGGUAAGAAUCUUGGCUUUACCUGGGUGAAAGACUUAACCUCCCCAUACCUCAAUUUCCUCACCUUGAAAAUGAAAAUAUUAAUAUUUUGGGGGCUAGUGGGGCUCAAAAUGAAAUAAUAUAUUUGAAUAUUUAGCAUACUGGUAGCUAAAAUUAUUAUUUUUGUUAUAUAGUUACCACCCUACACUGUUCUUAGGAUAAUUGCAGUUUUACAAACCUUGAGUUGGCUUCCAGAGUUGUUUGCUAAUGAGAAGUAGUACAGCUUCCUGAGGUGCUUAAAAUGACCUCAGGUGGACUAUAAGAGGAGUCAUUUGGACAGUGCUGGGUGAAAAAGAGAGACCUUCCUGCCCGAUAGAGAGUUGAAAUGUGAUAGGCUGCACUCAUUGUAAUUCAUUUUAUCUGUUCACAAACGUUAUGAUCUGCAUAUCAGAGUUGUGUGCCCAGCUGGCUGUGCCACUUGACAAGGAGUUUCAAAGAGCAAAAAGAAGACUCAACUCAUACUGUUUAUUUUGACCUUUGGAGCCAUAGUAAACAGCCUCAGGUUUUACCUCAGGGCUUGGGGGAAAGAACCUUUUAUUAGUCCUCUAUCUGUUGGGAUGCUGUGAUGCACAGCAGCUCUUGCUCACCUCUUUAGUGCCUUGGUUUUGGUCAUGUGUUAGAAAAUGUUUCUGCUCUAAUGUUGUCCAUAAGGCUGCCCAAUCCUACUGGAAUUCCCAUUAUAUAGUACACAGUUCUGGAAUCUUUUGUCCGCUGUUGGACAGUCUUGUUUAUAGCAGCUCUCAGCCAGCUGGCAUCUUACUGCCAGAGUGGAAUGAUGAAAGCAUUUUCUCUUUCUCUGUUUUGCUAUUGUAAUAUACCCAUCCUUCCAACUGAUGUGAAACUAUUCUGUUCCUGUGGGUGACAUGAAACAGCUUCAUAAUAUGCUAACCUUGGCCCAGCCAAGGGAAGUAGAUUACGGAGAAUUUUCAGGUGCUAGUGAGCAGUUUGUCGUAGACUGCUGAGGGUUAGUUAGGUUUGCGUGAAAACACUAGUGGGAUUGCUAGGAUCUCUUCCUAUUAGAUAAAGCUCCUUUGUGUCCUCUAAUUGUGAGGUCGUUUUCUCUCUCUGGCUGCUUCUAGUGUCAGAAGGCCUGGAUCCUCUCAUACGUGCAAGUCUGUGAAAAUACAUUUCCCCUACUGGGUGUUUAAUAAAUGUCAGUUAAGCCUGAAGGUAAAAAUCAUAUGCGAGGAAGGGAUUUCUACAUCCUUAGAUUUAAUCCUCUUUUACCACAAUUUACCUUCACACUUCCCUUGUUCCUUGAUUACAGCUCAGUGUCUUGUAUCUGUUAGUUCUUUAUGCAUCGGCCUCCCUCACUAUGUUGUGAGCUCCUGGUGGACGGGCCCUUGGCUCAGUCAUCUUGUAUAUAACCUCUCCACAUCCAGCAUAGUGUAGGCUUCCAUAAAUUUUUGUUAAAAAUAAUUGAGGUGGGGCUUCCCUGGUGGCGCAGUGGUUGGGAGUCCGCCUGCCGAUGCAGGGGACACGGGUUCGUGCCCCGGUCCGGGAGGAUCCCACAUGCCGCAGAGCGGCUGGGCCCGUGAGCCAUGGCCGCUGAGCCUGUGCGUCCGGAGCCUGUACUCCACAAUGGGAGAGGCCACA
Orcinus orca (killer whale) is the source of this 5091-nucleotide long non-coding RNA. RefSeq lists it as uncharacterized. The transcript has 2 exons. The record is from RefSeq and is a predicted model, not a curated record. NCBI's taxonomy places the organism in Eukaryota, Metazoa, Chordata, Mammalia, Artiodactyla, Delphinidae.